This 252-nucleotide ribosomal RNA is filed under the name uncultured bacterium. Its description in RNAcentral is "partial 16S ribosomal RNA". It matches the Rfam family "Bacterial small subunit ribosomal RNA", at positions 524 to 776 of the family's 1533-position model. The record is from RNAcentral.
UACGGAGGAUGCGAGCGUUAUCCGGAUUUAUUGGGUUUAAAGGGUGCGCAGGCGGUCUGUUAAGUCAGCGGUCAAAGCCCGGGGCUCAACCCCGGCCCGCCGUUGAAACUGGCAGUCUCGAGUUGGAGAGAAGUAUGCGGAAUGCGCGGUGUAGCGGUGAAAUGCAUAGAUAUCGCGCAGAACUCCGAUUGCGAAGGCAGCAUGCCGGCUCCACACUGACGCUGAGGCACGAAGGCGUGGGUAUCGAACAGG